UCGAGGAUCUUCGGCAAUGGGCGCAAGCCUGACCGAGCGACGCCGCGUGCGCGAUGAAGGCCUUCGGGUUGUAAAGCGCUUUAGGAGGGGAGAAAAGCCCGCAAGGGUUUGAUCUAUCCUCAAAAUAAGCACGGGCUAAGUUCGUGCCAGCAGCCGCGGUAAGACGAACCGUGCGAACGUUGUUCGGAAUAACUGGGCUUAAAGGGCGCGUAGGCGGGCUGUCAAGUCUGGGGUGAAAUCCCACGGCUCA
This 250-nucleotide ribosomal RNA is filed under the name uncultured bacterium. Its description in RNAcentral is "partial 16S ribosomal RNA". It matches the Rfam family "Bacterial small subunit ribosomal RNA", at positions 355 to 611 of the family's 1533-position model. The record is from RNAcentral.